RNAcentral lists this unclassified non-coding RNA (234 nucleotides) under Hevea brasiliensis (rubber tree). The record is from RNAcentral. Lineage: Eukaryota; Viridiplantae; Streptophyta; Magnoliopsida; Malpighiales; Euphorbiaceae.
AUUGCCUAAACAUCCCUUUCUCGCUCCCUUUCUUCAUACGAGCGUCCUCAAAAACUGGCAAGAGUAUGAAAACUGGAUCAACUUUUGUUGUAAUAUAUAAGCUUCCAUCUUCGCAAACGUAAUCCCCUAAGAACAAAGAGCCAUGUGACUGCUUAAACCAAUUAAGCUCUUGAAAAAACCCAUCCAAGAAGACAUAACUAGUUGCUGUGCCUGAUCUUGGAUGGCGCAAUGAUA